GACGAACGCUGGCGGCGUGCUUAACACAUGCAAGUCGAACGAAGAGCGAUGGAAGCUUGCUUCUAUCAAUCUUAGUGGCGAACGGGUGAGUAACGCGUAAUCAACCUGCCCUUCAGAGGGGGACAACAGUUGGAAACGACUGCUAAUACCGCAUACGAUCUAACCUCGGCAUCGAGGAAAGAUGAAAGGUGGCCUCUAUGUAUAAGCUAUCACUGAAGGAGGGGAUUGCGUCUGAUUAGCUAGUUGGAGGGGUAACGGCCCACCAAGGCGAUGAUCAGUAGCCGGUCUGAGUGGAUGAACGGCCACAUUGGGACUGAGACACGGCCCAGACUCCUACGGGAGGCAGCAGUGGGGAAUCUUCCGCAAUGGACGAAAGUCUGACGGAGCAACGCCGCGUGAGUGAUGACGGCCUUCGGGUUGUAAAGCUCUGUUAAUCGGGACGAAAGGCCUUCUUGCGAAUAGUGAGAAGGAUUGACGGUACCGGAAUAGAAAGCCACGGCUAACCACGUG
RNAcentral lists this ribosomal RNA (510 nucleotides) under uncultured bacterium. RNAcentral describes it as "partial 16S ribosomal RNA". It matches the Rfam family "Bacterial small subunit ribosomal RNA", at positions 28 to 507 of the family's 1533-position model. The record is from RNAcentral.